UUUUCUUGGGCUUCUUUUUUUCUGUUAUUAGUUGAAGCGUGGGUUUUGAGAGAAAUCGAAGCCGUUUUCCUUUGUUGUGGGCUUUUAUGUUAACAAGAUUACUUCGCAGUUAUAUUUCUAUUUCUGACGGGUUAGCGAUGGGGAUCGCAAUUAAUUUUUUUUUUGCACGUGGAAUAACCCCGAAAGUGUUCAGUGUAAUUUUUGCUGUUGAGGAAUCUUAAGUUUAUUGAAGAUUUGAAAACCAUGCUGCCCAUCACUCUGUCUACCAUGCCCUAAAAGCUGAGUAACAUUUUACAUGCACAUUGUUCUUAAUGGCACCAUUAUGGAACUUCACUUCAGCCAUCCAAUCUAAGACUUGCAUCAAGUUGUGCAAAUUAACAUUUACCUUUGCUGCGAACAUCAGUGUUAUAAUGGUUGUAGUCCACAAUCUGGACAUCCGUUGCGUUCAGUCAUUUGAACAGGAAUCUAAUGGCUGUCAAUAGGUGGCUGAAAUGAUUAAUGAUGUCCACCAGGUAGCGCGAGUGUCUUCAGGAACGCAUAGCGGCCAUUUUGAUCCAAGACGCAGCAGAAAUUGGUUGUCGGUUGUGACGUUUCUCACGAUGAAAAUUAAAAGAUUCAACAUGACUAACUGUUUGAUGCCAAAGUUAGUUGGAACUCAGUACUCAACUCACUGUAGGUACUCUAACACAGAUAACUGGUGCUGUGCCUUUCACUUUUCAGCCACAGGCAGG
Molecule: long non-coding RNA, 731 nt
Organism: Daphnia pulex (common water flea)
Lineage: Eukaryota; Metazoa; Arthropoda; Branchiopoda; Diplostraca; Daphniidae
Exons: 4
Source: RefSeq, a predicted model, not a curated record